Molecule: RNA transcript, 1973 nt
Organism: Drosophila simulans
Lineage: Eukaryota; Metazoa; Arthropoda; Insecta; Diptera; Drosophilidae
Gene name: short stature homeobox protein 2
Exons: 4
Source: RefSeq, a predicted model, not a curated record
ACCAAAGAAAUUGCUAAUUGAAUAGAGUCAAGAUGUUGAACUAGUCAUAUUUGCCCAUUAAAACAGGCAGUCAUCCAUUCAAGCUUGGCCAAAAUCGAAGCGCCAAGAUUUUUUAUUCCGUCGCUCUCUCGAACAAUUUAAGCGUGGAAUUCGAUUGUGGAUAAUCCGCAGGACAUGCGCAGCAAUAAAGAGCCAACUGAGGUGAUUAGGCACGCCGAUUGCCAUUGGUGUUGACUAUAAAAUAGUCGGCAGCUUAGUUUCGUUACAGCAACUUAUGCUCGAACGCAUAAAAAAGCAGCGGCAUUUAUUUGUUUACCCAAGCCAAGGAUAAUGGAGCAGCUGGCCCAGUUUGUCACCAAGUCCUUUGAGUUCAAUCUAACUAACAACAGUGUUCACGCCUUAUUCAAUUCGAUGACGGGCGCGCGUUUGAAAAAACCCACGGAAGUGAAAAACUCCAUAUUCAUAAACUCGAUCAGUUCCGGCGGCAGUUACGCCGAUACUUGCGCGAGUGGCGAGGAGUCCGUGGACAUAGACAUUACCGACCUGUCCGUAUCCGAGAGCAACACGAUCCUCGCGGUCGAUCCGGAGCCACCGGAAGAAACCCAUUCGCAGCGCGAGGAGCAUGUGGAAACCUACAGCCUUAGUCCCACUCUCCACAAGGCCGCGGUGGAGCCGAAGCCCAAGAACUGGCUAAUUUCGGAGGAUUUGGACGUGGACUCCCAGCCGGAAGAUCCAAAACUGUCUGGAUUGCCCACUGCCAACAUAACCGAGUGCACGGAGGACAGUAAUACGCCGAAGCUGGCGCCGGAUAAGCCAUUAUUGCCGGAAGAGUGCGUCUCCCCGGAGCCCAGCCGCAACCGGGAGCACUGCGAUCCGCUGGACUCGUCGCUGGUGAACACCAAGCAGCGGAGAUCGCGGACGAACUUCACCCUGGACCAGCUGAACGAGCUGGAGCGACUGUUCGAGGAGACCCACUAUCCAGAUGCCUUCAUGCGCGAGGAACUGAGUCAGCGACUGGGCCUCAGCGAAGCUAGAGUGCAGGUAAUUAUGUCCGCGCAUCUACUCCAUAAAUUAUACCCCGAUUGCAACUUGACAUUGGAAAUGUCCGAGGACGCCCCUUUGGACACCACGAGGUCCAAAUUGAUUUUCAAUGGUUAUUCAUUACACUUGUACUAAUGACAACCAGACAUUGUCUCCCCGAAAUAUUUCGACCGAAUGUGGAAGCAGUGACUUUGAUUUUUCAACCACCGGCAUUGUGAAAAUAAUGAAGGGAACUACAUUGGCAAGCCGAAGUUUAUAUACCCUAAAGAAAACUAGAAAAUGAUUCAAUCAACGAAGUUUUUCAAUUACUAUAAUCCGGCUUUUAACAGAAUACAUAGAUACAUAGAUACUAUCUCCGAUGAUAAUAAUACCUACCUUUGGUAAAGAUGAAAACUGCACAGAUCUGCAGACAAAAUGACAGACAGAUAUACGGACAUGCGGACUUACGGACAUGCGGACUUACGGACAUGCGUAAAUACUGACACGCGGACAUACGGACAAAGAGACACAGCUCGUCCAGCGAUGCUCAUCCAUAAUAUAUACUUUAUAAGAGCAGAAGUUAAAUUGCCAAGCUUCUAUGGAAAUGCAUAUACCCUUUGUAAGGGUAUAGGGAUAUGGGGUGUUAAGUGGUUUACGCCACCCUUUGUCGUCUGGGACACAAGUAGAAAAUUGCUCGAGCAUCGGGGGGCCGGUUAGAGAUUAAAUGCUCAAUCAGGGUGCUGGAAUAGGCACUAUGUGGUCAUGAAAUAUGUAGUUACAAUUCCAAAGCCAGCAGGAGUGUCACUUUUUUUAUGGUUUGGUUUCAAAAUAGAAGGGCGAAAUGUAGAAAGCACGAAAACCAAAUGCACAAAGGAUUCCUCGUGGGCAGUCGGAGUCCUCCGAUCGCCACUCCGCUGGAACCAUGUCGCGUGGCUCCCUACGUCAGCCUGGCC